Molecule: ribosomal RNA, 254 nt
Filed under: uncultured bacterium
Lineage: Bacteria
Description: partial 16S ribosomal RNA
Rfam family: Archaeal small subunit ribosomal RNA
Source: RNAcentral
UACCGGCGGCUCGAGUGGUGGCCACUAUUACUGGGCUUAAAGCGUCCGUAGCUGGAUUGUUAAGUCUCCUGGGAAAUCUACCGGCUUAACCGAUAGGCGUUCAGGGGAUACUGGCAAUCUAGGGACCGGAAGAGGUGAGAGGUACUCCAGGGGUAGGAGUGAAAUCCUGUAAUCCUUGGGGGACCACCUGUGGCGAAGGCGUCUCACCAGGACGGCUCCGACAGUGAGGGACGAAAGCUGGGGGAGCAAACCGG